UGAGGAAUAUUGGUCAAUGGGCGAGAGCCUGAACCAGCCAAGUAGCGUGAAGGAUGACGGCCCUACGGGUUGUAAACUUCUUUUGUGCGGGAAUAAAGGAACCUACGUGUAGGUUUUUGCAUGUACCGUAACGAAUAAGCAUCGGCUAACUCCGUGCCAGCAGCCGCGGUAAUACGGAGGAUGCGAGCGUUAUCCGGAUUUAUUGGGUUUAAAGGGAGCGUAGACGGGUUUUUAAGUCAGCUGUGAAAGUUUGGGGCUCAACCUUAAAAUUGCAGUUGAAACUGGAGACCUUGAGUACGGUUGAGGCAGGCGGAAUUCGUGGUGUAGCGGUGAAAUGCUUAGAUAUCACGAAGAACCCCGAUUGCGAAGGCAGCCUGCUAAGCCGCCACUGACGUUGAGGCUCGAAAGUGCGGGUAUCAAACAGGAUUAGAUACCCUGGUAGUCCGCACGGUAAACGAUGGAUACUCGCUGUUGGCGAUAGACGGUCAGCGGCCAAGCGAAAGCGUUAAGUAUCCCACCUGGGGAGUACGCCGGCAACGGUGAAACUCAAAGGAAUUGACGGGGGCCCGCACAAGCGGAGGAACAUGUGGUUUAAUUCGAUGAUACGCGAGGAACCUUACCCGGGCUUGAACUGCAGUGGAAUUAUCCGGAAACGGAUAAGCGAGCAAUCGCCGCUGUGGAGGUGCUGCAUGGUUGUCGUCAGCUCGUGCCGUGAGGUGUCGGCUUAAGUGCCAUAACGAGCGCAACCCUUGCUGCCAGUUACUAACAGGUCAUGCUGAGGACUCUGGCAGGACUGCCAUCGUAAGAUGCGAGGAAGGUGGGGAUGACGUCAAAUCAGCACGGCCCUUACGUCCGGGGCUACACACGUGUUACAAUGGGGAGUACAGAGGGCAGCUACCGGGCGACCGGAUGCGAAUCCCGAAAGCUCCUCUCAGUUCGGACUGGAGUCUGCAACCCGACUCCACGAAGCUGGAUUCGCUAGUAAUCGCGCAUCAGCCACGGCGCGGUGAAUACGUUCCC
RNAcentral lists this ribosomal RNA (1020 nucleotides) under uncultured bacterium. RNAcentral describes it as "bacterial SSU rRNA". It matches the Rfam family "Bacterial small subunit ribosomal RNA", at positions 355 to 1375 of the family's 1533-position model. The record is from RNAcentral.